CAGAGGACCCGAGCGAAACAGCCCUCCCGACAGCGCCGCCGCAAGGAACCUCAAGCAGCGUCGCCCCUCCCCUCCUCUCGCUCGCUCCGCACAUGCGGUGGUUUCUGUCGAGGACGGAUCUGAAAGUCCUCGGGCGCGCUACCGCCGGAUCCUAUCUCUCUCGUCCAGAAGUUACACGCACGUCGUGUUGGCUCUGGGCGCGGACGUCCAGCAGGCCACGUCGGUCGGUUGCUGGUGGCGGUACAGCGGGUCACCGUGGAUACAAUAGCAGCAGUACUUCUCAUGAUAGUUCACCAAAUCACGAGUUGCGGCUAAUAAUGGGCAAGGAAAAGCAAGCAGCCACAACAACCAACCGAGGGCAAUUCAUAACAGAAACCAAGAUUGUAUAAUGUGAGGUUUACACCCGGAGGAAGAACACAAGGAGAAAAAAUAUGUAACCCAUGGACAGCCUAACAUUCCUGUAUGCACUGCACACUCAGAGACAAUGAUUCAGUUAGAAGCAGUUCCUGAAGAAUUAUGAGAGUGCUAAAGUUUCAGAGGAUAUUUGUCUGUUCGGCUAAUCACCCUAUGACCUCGACAAUCAUGUUGAAUGUGGAGAAAUUGAGAGGGUUGGCAGAAAGAGAUCUCCUCUUGGUGAUGCUCAUCAACAUUAUUGCUGCAGCAUUACAGGCCAGUGGCUAAAUCCUUGUGUUCUGCGCUGCCUCGUGCAUCAUCAUCAUACAUUGAGAGAAACGAUGUUGAGGCCGGAAUGCACCUGAAAAUGCACAGAGAGGGAGGGGCAGCCCAGUGCAUGUAGCUCCCGCUUGCGCAGGGUCCGGGGAAGGGUCCGACCACUUUGGGUCUAUAGUACGCAGGCUUUCCCUACAUUUCUGUAAGAGGCUGUUUCCAGGACUUGAAAAUGCACAGAGACUUUGUUAAUUGUUUCUGCUGUUGUUUGCCUGCCAACAAGAACUUAAGAGGGCACAGAAAUUACAUCAUAAUGAUGAAUAGUAUUAAAGCUGCUGGAGCAACGAGGGAGCAGUCGAUGGAAUUCUCUCCUGCCUGUCUUGUGUUCACCGCCAUGAACAAUGCGUUGGUGAUCUUCUGAUUGGGGGUCAGCCCCGCAAACGCUGCAGAAUCCCAGUUCAAGCAGCACAAGAGUGUGAUGCCCAUGGUUAUGAGAGCAGCUACAGUGGUUGCAAGGAAUACCGUCUGCUGGUUAGGCAGAAAGUGGCUGAAACCCACUGCAUUUGUGUUGUUCAUCAUGAACUCAAACUCGUCAGGUUUAUCUCUGGUUAUUCUUACUCCUCUCAGAGUCUCAGUGCCCAUAUCGCCAACCUUAGAUACACAGGAAACAACGUGUUGCCAACAAGAAUCUGGCCAGUGAAGCCCUGGUUCGAAGAGAACACCACCAGGCUUUCGUUCAUCGGCAUCAAUCCUCCGUUGGUGAAACAAGAGACAGUGACCGAUAUAGAGAAAAUCAUGGAGUCGAUACCUUUCCUUGUUAAAACAUCUCUUGCAAUUGAAACAUGUGCUAAGGCAUGCGACUGGGACUGCUCUUAGGGCCGACAUGCGAACAUGAUGAUUGUUCAAAUGGAAAGGCGUUGCUCGACUGAAAACUCGAGGUAAACCGAGUAAUUGUUACUGUUCUGAAGAUGGCAAUGGAUUACUACUUUCGAAAAAGACAGCAGAGAAGGCUCAGCAAACUCAAUAGCUGUAUCCACUUGCAUUAUUUGUGUGUUUGUUUUGACUCUGGCUUCCCUACUGGCCUUAAGUGAUCCGCGUGUAGAGUUAUUUCUUCAAAUAAAUAUACAAAGCAAUUAAGCAUUAGCGUAUAACUCAAACCUGUUAGCUGGGUUUCCAUGUUAGCCCAGCCUGUUGAUUAACUCAUCAGUAAGGUCAAUUAACUUUA
Triticum aestivum (bread wheat) is the source of this 1891-nucleotide long non-coding RNA. RefSeq lists it as uncharacterized. The record is from RefSeq and is a predicted model, not a curated record. NCBI's taxonomy places the organism in Eukaryota, Viridiplantae, Streptophyta, Magnoliopsida, Poales, Poaceae. The transcript is spliced from 4 exons.